GACGAACGCUGGCGGCGUGCUUAACACAUGCAAGUCGAACGGAAAGGCCCUGCUUUUGUGGGGUGCUCGAGUGGCGAACGGGUGAGUAACACGUGAGUAACCUGCCCUUGACUUUGGGAUAACUUCAGGAAACUGGGGCUAAUACCGGAUAGGAGCUCCUGCUGCAUGGUGGGGGUUGGAAAGUUUCGGCGGUUGGGGAUGGACUCGCGGCUUAUCAGCUUGUUGGUGGGGUAGUGGCUUACCAAGGCCUUGACGGGUAGCCGGCCUGAGAGGGUGACCGGCCACAUUGGGACUGAGAUACGGCCCAGACUCCUACGGGAGGCAGCAGUGGGGAAUAUUGCACAAUGGGCGGAAGCCUGAUGCAGCAACGCCGCGUGCGGGAUGACGGCCUUCGGGUUGUAAACCGCUUUCGCCUGUGGCGAAGCGUGAGUGACGGUAAUGGGUAAAGAAGCACCGGCUAACUACGUG
This 468-nucleotide ribosomal RNA is filed under the name uncultured bacterium. RNAcentral's name for it is "partial 16S ribosomal RNA". It matches the Rfam family "Bacterial small subunit ribosomal RNA", at positions 28 to 507 of the family's 1533-position model. The record is from RNAcentral.